RNAcentral lists this ribosomal RNA (255 nucleotides) under Triticum aestivum (bread wheat). Its description in RNAcentral is "partial small subunit ribosomal RNA". Lineage: Eukaryota; Viridiplantae; Streptophyta; Magnoliopsida; Poales; Poaceae. The record is from RNAcentral.
AUGGCUGCUUCUCAACGAGGUCUGCAUAUGCGGCAAAAUUCUGGGGGCAGAGAAGUGAUCCAUACGGCUGAUUUCACCUGGAGAUCGAGGGCCCCGCUUCGCUGUCGCUUCUUCGCGUGGCUGGCCCUCCAGAACAGGUGUUGGACGGCGGACUGGCUAGCUCGGCGUGGCCUGGAUCAUCCGGAGCGUUGCCCUUUUUGCGAUCAGCAUGAGGAAAGCAUCAGCCAUCUUUUGCUUGCUUGUGUUUGCCAUUGA